AGAUCGGAAUUCCUGGUGUAGCGGUGAAAUGCGCAGAUAUCAGGAGGAACACCGGUGGCGAAGGCGGAUCUCUGGGCCAUUACUGACGCUGAGGAGCGAAAGCGUGGGGAGCGAACAGGAUUAGAUACCCUGGUAGUCCACGCCGUAAACGUUGGGAACUAGGUGUUGGCGACAUUCCACGUCGUCGGUGCCGCAGCUAACGCAUUAAGUUCCCCGCCUGGGGAGUACGGCCGCAAGGUUAAAACUCAAAUGAAUUGACGGGGGCCCGCACAAGCAGCGGAGCAUGUGGCUUAAUUCGACGCAACGCGAAGAACCUUACCAAGGCUUGACAUAUACCGGAAAGCAUCAGAGAUGGUGCCCCCCUUGUGGUCGGUAUACAGGUGGUGCAUGGCUGUCGUCAGCUCGUGUCGUGAGAUGUUGGGUUAAGUCCCGCAACGAGCGCAACCCUCGUUCUGUGUUGCCAGCAUGCCCUUCGGGGUGAUGGGGACUCACAGGAGACUGCCGGGGUCAACUCGGAGGAAGGUGGGGACGACGUCAAGUCAUCAUGCCCCUUAUGCCUUGGGCUGCACACGUGCUACAAUGGCCGGUACAAUGAGCUGCGAUGCCGCGAGGCGGAGCGAAUCUCAAAAAGCCGGUCUCAGUUCGGAUUGGGGUCUGCAACUCGACCCCAUGAAGUCGGAGUUGCUAGUAAUCGUAGAUCAGCAUUGCCGCGGUGAAUACGUUCCCGGGCCUUGUACACACCGCCCGU
This 748-nucleotide ribosomal RNA is filed under the name uncultured Streptomyces sp. RNAcentral's name for it is "bacterial SSU rRNA". It matches the Rfam family "Bacterial small subunit ribosomal RNA", at positions 658 to 1397 of the family's 1533-position model. Lineage: Bacteria; Bacillati; Actinomycetota; Actinomycetes; Kitasatosporales; Streptomycetaceae. The record is from RNAcentral.